CGGGGUGUAGUUCAUCGGUAGAACGCUCGGUUUGGGACCGAGAAGCAACAGGUCCAAUUCCUGUCACCCCGACAA
Molecule: transfer RNA, 75 nt
Filed under: Candidatus Levybacteria bacterium RIFCSPHIGHO2_01_FULL_40_16
Lineage: Bacteria; Candidatus Levyibacteriota
Also listed under: 2 other names
Description: tRNA-Pro
Rfam family: tRNA
About the family: Transfer RNA (tRNA) molecules are approximately 80 nucleotides in length.
Source: RNAcentral